CAGGAAGAGAAAACAACCGUGAUUCCGGGAGUAGUGGCGAGCGAAACUGGAUGAGGCCAAACCGUAUGCGUGUGAUACCCGGCAGGGGUUGCGCAUUCGGGGUUGUGGGAUCUCUCUUUUACAGUCUGCCGGCUGUGAGACGAGUCAGAAACCGUUGAUGUAGGCGAAGGACAUGCGAAAGGUCCGGCGUAGAGGGUAAGACCCCCGUAGCUGAAACAUCAGCGGCUUGUUUGAGAGACACCCAAGUAGCACGGGGCCCGAGAAAUCCCGUGUGAAUCUGGCGGGACCACCCGCUAAGCCUAAAUAUUCCCUGGUGACCGAUAGCGGAUAGUACCGUGAGGGAAUGGUGAAAAGUACCGCGGGAGCGGAGUGAAAUAGUACCUGAAACCGUGUGCCUACAAGCCGUGGGAGCGUCGCUGGCAGCACUUGUGCUGUCAGUCGUGACUGCGUGCCUUUUGAAGAAUGAGCCUGCGAGUUAGCGGUGUGUAGCGAGGUUAACCCGUGUGGGGAAGCCGUAGCGAAAGCGAGUCCGAAUAGGGCGUUUGAGUUGCACGCUCUAGACCCGAAGCGGAGUGAUCUAGCCAUGGGCAGGUUGAAGCGGAGGUAAGACUUCGUGGAGGACCGAACCCACCAGGGUUGAAAACCUGGGGGAUGACCUGUGGUUAGGGGUGAAAGGCCAAUCAAACUCCGUGAUAGCUGGUUCUCCCCGAAAUGCAUUUAGGUGCAGCGUCGUGUGUUUCUUGCCGGAGGUAGAGCACUGGAUAGGCGAUGGGCCCUACCGGGUUACUGACCUUAGCCAAACUCCGAAUGCCGGUAAGUGAGAGCGCGGCAGUGAGACUGUGGGGGAUAAGCUCCAUGGUCGAGAGGGAAACAGCCCAGAGCAUCGACUAAGGCCCCUAAGCGUACGCUAAGUGGGAAAGGAUGUGGAGUCGCAGAGACAACCAGGAGGUUGGCUUAGAAGCAGCCACCCUUGAAAGAGUGCGUAAUAGCUCACUGGUCAAGUGAUUCCGCGCCGACAAUGUAGCGGGGCUCAAGCGUACCGCCGAAGUCGUGUCAUUCCAGCAUGUACCCCCAACGGGGGCUGGGAUGGGUAGGGGAGCGUCGUGUGCCGGGUGAAGCAGCCGCGGAAGCGAGUUGUGGACGGUUCACGAGUGAGAAUGCAGGCAUGAGUAGCGAUACACACGUGAGAAACGUGUGCGCCGAUUGACUAAGGGUUCCUGGGUCAAGCUGAUCUGCCCAGGGUAAGUCGGGACCUAAGGCGAGGCCGACAGGCGUAGUCGAUGGACAACCGGUUGAUAUUCCGGUACCCGCUUUGAAACGCCCAGUACUGAAUCAGGCGAUGCUAAGUCCGUGAAGCCGGCCCGAUCUCUUCGGAGUUGAGGGUAGUGGUGGAGCCGAUGAACCAGACUUGUAGUAGGUAAGCGAUGGGGUGACGCAGGAAGGUAGUCCAGCCCGGGCGGUGGUUGUCCCGGGGUAAGGGUGUAGGACGCACGGUAGGUAAAUCCGUCGUGCAUAUAGUCUGAGACCUGAUGCCGAGCCGAUUGUGGUGAAGUGGAUGAUCCUAUGCUGUCGAGAAAAGCCUCUAGCGAGUUUCAUGGCGGCCCGUACCCUAAACCGACUCAGGUGGUCAGGUAGAGAAUACCGAGGCGUUCGGGUGAACUAUGGUUAAGGAACUCGGCAAAAUGCCCCCGUAACUUCGGGAGAAGGGGGGCCAUCACUGGUGAUCCGAUUUACUCGGUGAGCUGGGGGUGGCCGCAGAGACCAGCGAGAAGCGACUGUUUACUAAAAACACAGGUCCGUGCGAAGCCGUAAGGCGAUGUAUACGGACUGACGCCUGCCCGGUGCUGGAACGUUAAGGGGACCGGUUAGCUGACUUUCGGGUUGGCGAAGCUGAGAACUUAAGCGCCAGUAAACGGCGGUGGUAACUAUAACCAUCCUAAGGUAGCGAAAUUCCUUGUCGGGUAAGUUCCGACCUGCACGAAUGGCGUAACGACUUCCCAACUGUCUCAACCGCGAACUCGGCGAAAUUGCACUACGAGUAAAGAUGCUCGUUACGCGCAGCAGGACGGAAAGACCCCGUGACCUUUACUACAGCUUGGUAUUGGUGUUCGGUGUGGCUUGUGUAGGAUAGGUGGGAGACUUUGAAGCGUGGACGCCAGUUCGUGUGGAGUCAUUGUUGAAAUACCACUCUGGUCACUCUGGAUAUCUAACUUCGAACCGUGAUCCGGUUCAGGGACAGUGCCUGGUGGGUAGUUUAACUGGGGCGGUUGCCUCCUAAAGAGUAACGGAGGCGCCCAAAGGUUCCCUCAGCCUGGUUGGUAAUCAGGUGUUGAGUG
This 2336-nucleotide ribosomal RNA is filed under the name fermentation metagenome. Its description in RNAcentral is "bacterial LSU rRNA". It matches the Rfam family "Bacterial large subunit ribosomal RNA", at positions 213 to 2351 of the family's 2925-position model. The record is from RNAcentral.